GGAGGUAUAGCUCAGUUGGUAGAGUGUUUGCCUUGCAUGCACAAGGUCCUGAGUUCAAUCCCCAGAAUCCCCU
This 73-nucleotide transfer RNA is filed under the name Marmota monax (woodchuck). It matches the Rfam family "tRNA". Rfam says of the family: Transfer RNA (tRNA) molecules are approximately 80 nucleotides in length. The record is from Rfam by way of RNAcentral. Lineage: Eukaryota; Metazoa; Chordata; Mammalia; Rodentia; Sciuridae.